GUAGCUAUAGGUAAGGUACCCAAGGCAUGCCUUAGCUUCCCAGGGCAGCACUUAGGCAACAUGGCCUAAAGCUCACUCAACAGCCUCUACGAAAGUAGAGUGAAAUCACUGCAGAGGUGGAGACAAAUUUGAGCUUAUGAUGUACAGCAGGAAACAAAUUAGGUUCGGAGUACAUUAUGAGCUGCAAAUUAUGAGCAAUCAUACUGUAAUGGGCCAGCUCGAGUCUGGCACAGCACUGCAGAGCACAGAGUCAACUGGGACAUUCCUGACAUAGCAAUUCUCUUGUAAAGGUCUACAUGGAGCAAAAUGGUGCUGUGGAUUGUGUCCACCCAUCCCAGAAUCACAGGACCUGUUCCCUUCCCAGAGAGCAUCCAGACAGCUCAUCCCACCACCCACCUUUGCUGUGGAGCCUGACCGAGAGGGGGUCAGAAGGAGGUCCUAGGCUGGCACAGUGAUAGGCCAGCACUUCCAGGCUGUAGUCCUUGUUGAAUGCCAGGUUUGUCAGGCCCUCCCAUCCAAUACUCACCUUGGCACUCUGUGACCAUGACAGCUUGUGGUCCUGUGGCACCUUCUCCUCCAUCUCCAGGGCGUGUUAACUGAACCUUAACAAGUGACCUUGAAUUUGCCACUGUCCUGCCCACCUGUGGUGGAGACUCGGCAUUCCCAGAAGCCAGUGUCAGAGAGGACAAGCGGUGGCACUUGAAACUCACAGUGCUGCCCAUGCCAACCAGAUGGGCAGAUGCACCCACUGAACCGGUUACAAGUGCCUCCAUUCUGGCAGUGACACUCCAGGGCACAGUCUGGGCCAUAUUUCCCACGGUGACAAGCUAUGGGAAGAACACAGAAAUUGGCCCAGCUCAGCUUCUCAUCAUAUCUCCAGAGACUGCACUUAGAAGACUUCUGACAGAUUCCACUUCUGGUACUUAAAAUGCUUUUGAACUUUCCCCCUGUUGUUGUUUUGUAUGUGUGGUGGUCAGAAACACAGUUUUAACUUGUAAAGGUGCUUGAAUCUGGUUGUUUUCACUGAGAGAUAGAUUUCCAAUCACAUUUCAACCUUCUUGAACUUUUUGUGUCACCUAUGGAGAUAUUUAUCUAAAAUGAAUAGCAUCUUGAGUCCUCUACACAUCAUGUUUUUCCAACAGAGGCUUACACAUUUGAUUCCCCCCAUCCCUCACAUUUUAAACUCACAGAAUGGGGGAAAUGUCAAUUUCACUGAUAAUAGACAGACUUCACCUUUCUAUCUCUUUCCUUGCCUUCAUUAAUUUUGGUGCUUGGAAGACGGAAGAACGAGGGCUUCCCCUCUGUUUUUCCUUUGUAAGGAAAAAGAACAUGUACAUGCACCAGUGCUAGUGCAGCAGUAAUAUCUCAAUUUAAAAAAAAAACUGAUGAGAGUUCAAUAAAGUUAGCAAUUCUUUUCUCCAGUCUUCUCGGGUUCAUAGGGUAAGGGGAUGGGACUGGUGAAAGAAAUUUAGUCAGGAGGGCUUGAAGGAUCCUGUGGGGAUGCAUCUGAGUUUCAUCACAGAGUGGUAUGAGCCAGCAUCCAGCACAAGCCUUCUUAUGCAUAAGUUGGUAGGGGUUGUGGUGACAUUUAAAACAGGGAAUGCAGAAAUUGUAAAGAGUGGUGAUGUGCAGUAACUAAAGUGAGGAGGAUUCUCAAGGGAUGAUUAAAACACUUUAAAAUGCAAGUGUGAUUUUGACCUUACAAGUCAAGGGUGGUUUGAAGGAGAAGCAGAAGAUGCAUGCAGAGAAAGAAAGUGUACAUCACUCUUCUCUUGGGUUUGAACCACAGAGGAACAGAGGAAGCUCCAUAGAGUACGGUGCCUGAAAUAUGUUAAGCCCAUUCUCAUGAUCGAAAACUGGGUAGGAGGAGCAUCCAGCCAGGAUCCCAGACCCACAUGCGCUGCUGAGAACCAGUUGUAUGUUGGCAAAUAUCGAGGUAAAAGGAUGGGGAAAUGAUAAUCUGCUAGCCCCGAUAUGGAUAGGGUGGCGGCAGCCUACCCACACUGUGUACCCAGCACUGUAUCGAGGGUGGAGGAAAAGCCACAUCCGGUGCCAUCGUAUCCAGAUUGCAGCUAGCACACAAUCACUUUCCCAUCAUCCCACCUUGCUUUUUUUCUGACACAUUACCCAUUCGCGGGAGCGUGCACACAGGUCUGGGAUCCUGGCUGGAUGCUCCUCCCACCUAGUUUUUGGUCAUGAGAAUGGGCCCUAUGUCCUCAGGGGCUAUGGGAAGUUUAGCUCUCCUAGGAGCAUUUUCCCUCCCCACAAACAGAGAGCACUCCUUUCAGGAAAAGAGGAUCUAGAAUCCGAGACAAUAAGUCAUAAAAGGGAAGAUAUUCCUUUAAGUUUCUCUUUGCUAUGGAACGUCUUGCUCACAAGGACCAUUCUUGUGGGGAUGCUGGGGCCAAGCAGGGGGGAAAGAUUCCACCGAAACAAAGGGAGGAAGCGACUCUCUCCUGGCUGCCAGCCAGGCAGAGUCUCAGCAGAGAGAGCAAUUGAAGCUGGAUAAAAAUACUAUUACUAAGCAACAUGUUAGUAUUCCUUUGACACGCAGGAGUGGCUCUUGGGACUGCUUUUCCACAUACAGGUUUUCAGGAAACUGUGCGGCAAUUAAUAACUCUGUAGGUAGCAACAAUGGAACAGAAUGUUUACAAGAAAACAUUGAUGAUGUUUUCUACUGGAAUCCCGGGAGACUGUUCCAAUCAUGGUUCUAGUCUAUACCUCCUCCCAUGGCUUCGCCACACUUCAGUGUCUUAAUUCUCACAGACAACUUUUCUGGUGCAUUAAACGAAUCAGUUAUACAACAUCAAGUUCACAUAUUUUGUCUGAAUACUCCCUUGUAUGCUGAGAACUGGCAUAAAUCAUGGCAAGGCAAUUUCUAGUACUUACUGUAGACAUUUGUCCUGAUAUGGUACACAUUUGCUUUCCCCAACACAAGUGCACUUUCAAACAUUUUUUCACCAUGUGAAACUUGGUGAAUGUCAUGCAAUUUGGUAUCGUGCAGUCAUCUUGUGGUGACUUUGUUGUAUGUAAAAGUCAUAGGAGAAUCAGAUCUCAGUUGUUGUCAUGUUAUCUUUAUGUGUCUCAGUUGCUGCUCAGUUGCUGCUUUGCAAAUCAGUUUAUCAAUUCAGGCAACCUGAAGCUUCAGUUUAUCAAUAAAUUACAUCACUGGCAUGUGAAAAGGGAGCUACAGAAC
Long non-coding RNA from Hemicordylus capensis (graceful crag lizard), 3196 nucleotides. RefSeq lists it as uncharacterized. The transcript is spliced from 4 exons. The record is from RefSeq and is a predicted model, not a curated record. Lineage: Eukaryota; Metazoa; Chordata; Lepidosauria; Squamata; Cordylidae.